Molecule: long non-coding RNA, 472 nt
Filed under: Selaginella moellendorffii
Lineage: Eukaryota; Viridiplantae; Streptophyta; Lycopodiopsida; Selaginellales; Selaginellaceae
Description: long non-coding RNA (SMOE_LNC000118)
Source: RNAcentral
UCGUGUCCGCAAGAGGAAAACCUUGAAGCAGCCGAGUGAAAUGGAAAGCUCGAAAGAAAUGGAAAUAAUUCCAGAACUUCCUGCCAAUGACAUACAACAGAGCUUUGGAGAUGAGGGGAGCGAAAGGAAAGUGGAAACUGUGACUGACCGUCUGGCUCGCAUGACUCGCGCUGGAGCAGCAGUAAAUCUCCAUCUUUUUUCGGCUCCAGCUCCAAAACAAGGGAACGAAACUCCGAAACUUGAUUCCGACAAGUUGGCUCCAAAUCGUACUGGGGACACUGGCGAUGAAUCACGAGUUUUUGUUCAGUCCGGUCCAAUACUGACUUGCGAGCACCUCGAGCUCUUACGGGAAAUCAAGCAUUCACAGGUACGUAAUUGGAAUCAAACUUGAGCGAGCUUACCAUUUUCUUCUUCUUGUAUUGUACGUAGGCAAACAUGUCCGAGUCAUUCGCGUCAUUUUCUUCGAGACUCG